This 484-nucleotide ribosomal RNA is filed under the name uncultured bacterium. RNAcentral describes it as "partial 16S ribosomal RNA". It matches the Rfam family "Bacterial small subunit ribosomal RNA", at positions 30 to 507 of the family's 1533-position model. The record is from RNAcentral.
AUUGAACGCUGGCGGCAGGCCUAACACAUGCAAGUCGAGCGGAUGAAGGGAGCUUGCUCCUGGAUUCAGCGGCGGACGGGUGAGUAAUGCCUAGGAAUCUGCCUGGUAGUGGGGGAUAAUGUCCGGAAACGGGCGCUAAUACUGCAUACGUCCUGCGGGAGAAAGUGGGGGAUCUUCGGACCUCACGCUAUCAGAUGAGCCUAGGUCGGACUAGCUAGUUGGUGGGGUAAAGGCCUACCAAGCCGACGAUCCGUAACUGGUCUGAGUGGAUGAUCAGUCACACUGGAACUGAGACACGGUCCAGACUCCUACGGGAGGGAGCAGUGGGGAAUGUGGGACAGUGGGGGAAAGCCUGAUACAGCCAUGGGGCGUGUGUGAAGAAGGUCUUCGGAUUGUAAAGCAGUUUAAGUUGGGAGGAAGGGCAGUAAGUUAAUACCUUGCUGUUUUGACGUUACCAACAGAAUAAGCACCGGCUAACUUCGUG